This is a non-coding RNA of Meleagris gallopavo (turkey), 946 nucleotides long. The record is from RefSeq and is a predicted model, not a curated record. Lineage: Eukaryota; Metazoa; Chordata; Aves; Galliformes; Phasianidae.
AGAUGUUAUUUCCUAAUUUAGGACUUAAUCCCUUCCCCUCCCCAUCCCCAGCCCUGAAUCCAUCUGAAACCCUAGGCUGCGCUGUGCACUUGAAGUGAUGUGCCUCAGAGUCCUAAAUUCAGUGAGCGUGCCUGAGGGGAGACAACACAAGAGAGGAGAGACAGUUGAACACCACCAUUGGCUGGGACCUGAAAAAAUGGUGCUGGAGGAACGGAGGAUUAGAACUUAAUUGUAAAAGGAAAAUUGAGUCUUGGCAGAUGAUUUUCUUCAUUUCCACGUCCACCAUGGCCCAGAUCCUCUGGCUGGCCGGUUGAUGGGACUGUCCAACGCUUGCUGCUUGGGUUCAGUGCAGAUAUCCCCAGUGCCUACAGACUGAAAGACCCGGGAUCAGGUGGCAAUUGGAUGGUGCCAAAUCCAGGAAGAGAAAGAGAAAUGGACUCUGACGAGCGAAGAUGGAAGUGACUUGACAGCUCCAAGCUCAGCAGUUGUCUCCAAUUAGGACAGGUUAAGGUUGGAAUCACAAGCUUCACUGGGAGAGCAGUAUGCAGGAAGCUGGUUUUCAGGCCACAAAUGCUUUCACAGAGUGCAAAUUCACCUGCGCCAGUGGUAAAUGCUUGUAUCUUGGUUCAUUGAUUUGUAACCAACAGAAUGACUGUGGGGAUAACAGUGAUGAAGAGAACUGUCUGCUUGUAACAGAGCAUCCACCUCCAGGCAUCUUUAGCUGUGAGUACUUGCUCUUCGUGUGCAUCUGUGUAUGUAUGUGGAAUAUGUCUGUUACCUCAAAAAUCAGUGUCUUCAGAAACCUGGUCUGCUGUAUCAUAUCUAGGGGAGCUGAGAUAGUGCACUGAACCAGCAGUGCUGUCUAACAUGCUUUCUGUGGGUGUCUGAAUCUGGAAAGUUGAGGUCAUGUGGAGGGAAGUGGAGGAGUUUGUGCUGCAGGAAAUGA